Molecule: ribosomal RNA, 253 nt
Filed under: uncultured bacterium
Lineage: Bacteria
Description: partial 16S ribosomal RNA
Rfam family: Archaeal small subunit ribosomal RNA
Source: RNAcentral
UACCAGCACCCCGAGUGGUCGGGACGUUUAUUGGGCCUAAAGCAUCCGUAGCCGGUUCUACAAGUCUUCCGUUAAAUCCACCUGCUUAACAGAUGGGCCGCGGAGGAUACUACAGAGCUAGGAGGCAGGAGAGGCAAGCGGUACUCAGUGGGUAGGGGUAAAAUCCGUUGAUCCAUUGAAGACCACCAGUGGCGAAGGCGGCUUGCCAGAAUGCGCUCGACGGUGAGGGAUGAAAGCUGGGGGAGCAAACCGG